This 350-nucleotide RNase P RNA is filed under the name Anaerobium acetethylicum. RNAcentral's name for it is "Bacterial RNase P class A". It matches the Rfam family "Bacterial RNase P class A". Rfam says of the family: Ribonuclease P (RNase P) is a ubiquitous endoribonuclease, found in archaea, bacteria and eukarya as well as chloroplasts and mitochondria. Lineage: Bacteria; Bacillati; Bacillota; Clostridia; Lachnospirales; Lachnospiraceae. The record is from Rfam by way of RNAcentral.
UGAGUAGGACAAAUGAUCGCAGCUGCGGAUGCCGAAAGGCAGCAGGUGAGGAAAGUCCGGGCUUCAUAGGGCAGGAUGCCGGAUAACGUCCGGUGGAGGCGACUCCAAGGCUAGUGCAACAGAAAUAUACCGCCGGCUUCGGCCGGUAAGGGUGGAAGGGUAGCUUAAGAGACUACCGCCUUCCUGGUAACAGGGAGGGCAUAUGUAAACCCCAUUCGAAGCAAGACCGAAUAAAAAGCGAUACGGCUGCCCGCCGUGCUUUUAGGUGGGUCGCUAGAGCCUGCUGGCAACAGCAGGUGUAGAUAGAUGAUCAUUCACGACAUAACCCGGCUUAUCGUCCUGCUCAUUUG